GCCCAGACUCCUACGGGAGGCAGCAGUGGGGAAUAUUGCACAAUGGGGGAAACCCUGAUGCAGCGACGCCGCGUGAGUGAAGAAGUAUUUCGGUAUGUAAAGCUCUAUCAGCAGGGAAGAAAAUGACGGUACCUGAGUAAGAAGCCCCGGCUAACUACGUGCCAGCAGCCGCGGUAAUACGUAGGGGGCAAGCGUUAUCCGGAUUUACUGGGUGUAAAGGGAGCGUAGACGGCGAUACAAGUCUGAAGUGAAAGCCCGGGGCUCAACCCCGGGACUGCUUUGGAAACUGUGUUGCUGGAGUGCUGGAGAGGCAAGCGGAAUUCCUAGUGUAGCGGUGAAAUGCGUAGAUAUUAGGAGGAACACCGGUGGCGAAGGCGGCUUACUGGACUGUAACUGACGUUGAGGCUCGAAAGCGUGGGGAGCAAACAGGAUUAGAUACCCCCGUA
RNAcentral lists this ribosomal RNA (446 nucleotides) under uncultured bacterium. Its description in RNAcentral is "bacterial SSU rRNA". It matches the Rfam family "Bacterial small subunit ribosomal RNA", at positions 329 to 792 of the family's 1533-position model. The record is from RNAcentral.